AGCAGCCGCGGUAAUUCCAGCUCCAAUAGCGUAUAUUAAAGUUGUUGCAGUUAAAAAGCUCGUAGUUGAAUUUCGGGAUCAUCAGGUUGGUCGUGCCUCUGGUAUGUACUGAUUUCGAUGGUCCCUCCUUCUUGAAGAGCCGUAAUGCCAUUAAUUUGGUGUUGCGGGGAAUCAGGACUGUUACUUUGAAAAAUUAGAGUGUUUAAAGCAGGCAAUCGCUUGAAUACAUUAGCAUGGAAUAAUGAAAUAGGACGUUCGAUCCUAUUUUGUUGGUUUCUAGGAUUGACGUAAUGAUUAAUAGGGAUAGUUGGGGGCAUUAGUAUUCAAUUGUCAGAGGUGAAAUUCUUGGAUUUAUUGAAGACUAACUACUGCGAAAGCAUUUGCCAAGGAUGUUUUCAUUAAUCAAGAACGAAAGUUAGGGGAUCGAAAACGAUCAGAUACCGUCGUAGUCUUAACCAUAAACUAUGCCGACUAGGGAUCGGAUGAUGUUAAUUUUUAAUGG
RNAcentral lists this ribosomal RNA (502 nucleotides) under uncultured Glomus. RNAcentral's name for it is "SSU rRNA". It matches the Rfam family "Eukaryotic small subunit ribosomal RNA", at positions 569 to 1075 of the family's 1831-position model. Lineage: Eukaryota; Fungi; Glomeromycota; Glomeromycetes; Glomerales; Glomeraceae. The record is from RNAcentral.